UAAGGAAUAUUGGACAAUGGAGGCAACUCUGAUCCAGCCAUGCCGCGUGAAGGAAUAAGGCCCUAUGGGUUGUAAACUUCUUUUAGACGGGACAAAACCCCUUUACGUGUAAAGGGUUGAUGGUACUGUCAGAAUAAGCAUCGGCUAACUUCGUGCCAGCAGCCGCGGUAAUACGAAGGAUGCAAGCGUUAUCCGGAAUUAUUGGGUUUAAAGGGUGCGUAGGCGGACUAAUAAGGCAGUGGUGAAAGCCUGCAGCUUAACUGCAGAAUUGCCAUUGAUACUGUUAGUCUGGAGUACAGUUGAGGUUGGCGGAAUGUGUCAUGUGGCGGUGAAAUGCUUAGAUAUGACACAGAACACCGAUUGCGAAGGCAGCUUGCUAAGCUGUAACUGACGCUGAGGCACGAAAGCGUGGGGAGCAAACA
RNAcentral lists this ribosomal RNA (422 nucleotides) under uncultured bacterium. Its description in RNAcentral is "bacterial SSU rRNA". It matches the Rfam family "Bacterial small subunit ribosomal RNA", at positions 355 to 774 of the family's 1533-position model. The record is from RNAcentral.